Molecule: ribosomal RNA, 432 nt
Filed under: uncultured bacterium
Lineage: Bacteria
Description: partial 16S ribosomal RNA
Rfam family: Bacterial small subunit ribosomal RNA
Source: RNAcentral
CCUACGGGGGGCAGCAGUAAGGAAUAUUGGUCAAUGGGCGGAAGCCUGAACCAGCCAUGCCGCGUGCAGGAAGACGGCCUACGGGUUGUAAACUGCUUUUAUACUGGAAUAUGUACAGUAAGAAUAAGGAUCGGCUAACUCCGUGCCAGCAGCCGCGGUAAUACGGAGGAUCCAAGCGUUAUCCGGAUUUAUUGGGUUUAAAGGGUGCGUAGGUGGCUUUUUAAGUCAGGGGUGAAAGACGGUAGCUUAACUAUCGCAGUGCCCUUGAUACUGAAGAGCUUGAAUACACUAGAGGUAGGCGGAAUGUGACAAGUAGCGGUGAAAUGCAUAGAUAUGUCACAGAACACCAAUUGCGAAGGCAGCUUACUAUGGUGUAUUGACACUGAGGCACGAAAGCGUGGGGAUCAAACAGGAUUAGAUACCCCUGUAGUC